UAGCUGAGGAGCCUGGAGGACAUUCAGUCCUUGUGAGAAUCCCAACCAUGGCCUGGACAAUGGUGCUUCUUGGAAUCUUCACUUUCAGCUCAGGAGUAGUUUCUCAGACUGUGGUCACCCAGGAGCCAUCAAUGUCUGUGUCUUCAGGAGAGACAGUCAGUCUCAACUGUGGCCUUAGCUCUGGGUCAGUUUCUACUGGUAACUACCCUAGCUGGUACCAGCAGAACCCAGGCCAGGCUCCACAUCUAUUUAUCUACCAAACGGACAAGCGUCCCUCUGGGGUCCCUGAUCGCUUCUCUGGAUCCAUCGCUGGGAACAAAGCUGCCCUUACCAUCACGGGGGCUCAGCCAGAGGAUGAGGCUGAUUAUUACUGCUUACUGUACAUGGGAAGUGGUAAUUUGCACAGUGAGCUGAACCCAUGGGGAAGUGCAACCAAAACUUUUUCGCAUGCUCAAAAUGGCCUCACUCUUACUCUUACAGUCGGGAGAAAAGAAGAAAGGGUGAAAAGUGUCAACAGCAUGAUAGCUAAAAUGAGGCUACACGAUCCCUUGUCCUAA
Molecule: non-coding RNA, 557 nt
Organism: Heterocephalus glaber (naked mole-rat)
Lineage: Eukaryota; Metazoa; Chordata; Mammalia; Rodentia; Bathyergidae
Source: the annotation of a RefSeq genome assembly